GAAAAGAACUUUGAAAAGAGAGUAAAAUAGUACGUGAAAUUGUUGAAAGGGAAACGAUUGAAGUCAGUCGUACCGACGAGAAAUCAGCUUUUCGAGUGCGAACUUGUGGGCGUGCGUGAGUCUUUAACGGGCCUCGCUGUUUGCAAUUUUGUGCUUUUUGAGUGUACUUUUUCGUAUGGUAGGCCAACGUCAGUUUUGAUCACCGUAAAAUGAUCGGAGGAAUGAGCUUCGAUA
RNAcentral lists this ribosomal RNA (234 nucleotides) under uncultured Glomeromycotina. RNAcentral's name for it is "partial large subunit ribosomal RNA". The record is from RNAcentral. Lineage: Eukaryota; Fungi; Glomeromycota.